AAGGAGUAAGCGAGAAGUAAGAUAAAACUCACUUCUCAAAUCCUAGGUCGAACACUUAGGAGCUUGCUGUUCGUUUUACCCAAAAAACCCGAAACUCUUAAAAAGAGUUUCGAGGAUUUUUUGAGGCUCGGCCUUAGCCGAGUUUCAUUAAGAAAAAAGUUUUAAUUAUGAAUUAAAAACUAAGAAUUAAAAAUUGCUUCACACAAGUGAAGCCCAAGUGUUCUUUGAAAACUGCAUAGAGAGAAAAAACAAGUAGGAAAACAAUUUCAUUUGAGAACAACAAAUGGAACUCUCGCAAA
This 299-nucleotide unclassified non-coding RNA is filed under the name uncultured Syntrophomonadaceae bacterium. Its description in RNAcentral is "16S-23S ribosomal RNA intergenic spacer". Lineage: Bacteria; Bacillati; Bacillota; Clostridia; Eubacteriales; Syntrophomonadaceae. The record is from RNAcentral.